UGUUGGCUUUCUAACCCGCACCACUUAUCGUGGUGGGAGACAGUGUCAGGCGGGCAGUUUGACUGGGGCGGUCGCCUCCUAAAAGGUAACGGAGGCGCUCAAAGGUUCCCUCAGAAUGGUUGGAAAUCAUUCAUAGAGUGUAAAGGCAUAAGGGAGCUUGACUGCGAGACCUACAAGUCGAGCAGGGUCGAAAGACGGACUUAGUGAUCCGGUGGUUCCGCAUGGAAGGGCCAUCGCUCAACGGAUAAAAGCUACCCCGGGGAUAACAGGCUUAUCUCCCCCAAGAGUUCACA
Molecule: ribosomal RNA, 293 nt
Filed under: Staphylococcus aureus
Lineage: Bacteria; Bacillati; Bacillota; Bacilli; Caryophanales; Staphylococcaceae
Description: partial 23S ribosomal RNA
Rfam family: Bacterial large subunit ribosomal RNA
Source: RNAcentral